RNAcentral lists this small RNA (370 nucleotides) under Pongo abelii (Sumatran orangutan). RNAcentral's name for it is "unitary pseudogene". Lineage: Eukaryota; Metazoa; Chordata; Mammalia; Primates; Hominidae. The record is from RNAcentral.
GGCAUCAUCCCGGAUAUGGUCAGUGACAACAUGUUGUCCUGCCUGGAGAGCUGGGGCUUCCUAAUCGAUGGCUUUCCCCGGGAGCUGAAGCAGGCCAUGGAGUUUGAGUGCAUCGUGGGCCGGGCCGCCAGUGUCAUCAUUGUUUGACUGCUCCAUGGAGACGAUGCUCCGAGUGCUGCACUGGGGCCAGGUGGAGCACCCGGCAGACGACUCGGAUCUGGCCAUCUGCCAGCGCUUGGACAUGCACUACACCUUGUGUGAGCCGGUCUUGACCUACCAGCAGAAUAACCUGCUCCGAAAUAUACCGGCAGAGGAAGCACCAGAGAACAUCUCUGCCAAGUGCUGCUCUGUCAUUGAGAGUCUGCAGUGA